Molecule: ribosomal RNA, 2897 nt
Filed under: Vibrio cholerae IEC224
Lineage: Bacteria; Pseudomonadati; Pseudomonadota; Gammaproteobacteria; Vibrionales; Vibrionaceae
Description: bacterial LSU rRNA
Rfam family: Bacterial large subunit ribosomal RNA
Source: RNAcentral
AUGGUUAAGUGACUAAGCGUACACGGUGGAUGCCUGGGCAGUCAGAGGCGAUGAAGGACGUACUAACUUGCGAUAAGCGCAGAUAAGGCAGUAAGAGCCGUUUGAGUCUGCGAUUUCCGAAUGGGGAAACCCAACUGCAUAAGCAGUUACUGUUAACUGAAUACAUAGGUUAACAGAGCAAACCGGGGGAACUGAAACAUCUAAGUACCCCGAGGAGAAGAAAUCAACCGAGAUUCCGGUAGUAGCGGCGAGCGAACCUGGAUUAGCCCUUAAGCACUCGGUGAAGUAGGUGAACAAGCUGGAAAGCUUGGCGAUACAGGGUGAUAGCCCCGUAACCGACGCUUCAUCGAGCGUGAAAUCGAGUAGGGCGGGACACGUGAUAUCCUGUCUGAAUAUGGGGGGACCAUCCUCCAAGGCUAAAUACUCCUGACUGACCGAUAGUGAACCAGUACCGUGAGGAAAGGCGAAAAGAACCCCUGUGAGGGGAGUGAAAUAGAACCUGAAACCGUGUACGUACAAGCAGUAGGAGCACCUUCGUGGUGUGACUGCGUACCUUUUGUAUAAUGGGUCAGCGACUUAUAUUCAGUGGCAAGGUUAACCGUAUAGGGGAGCCGUAGCGAAAGCGAGUCUUAACUGGGCGCUCAGUCUCUGGAUAUAGACCCGAAACCGGGUGAUCUAGCCAUGGGCAGGUUGAAGGUUGAGUAACAUCAACUGGAGGACCGAACCGACUAAUGUUGAAAAAUUAGCGGAUGACUUGUGGCUAGGGGUGAAAGGCCAAUCAAACUCGGAGAUAGCUGGUUCUCCCCGAAAGCUAUUUAGGUAGCGCCUCGGACGAAUACUACUGGGGGUAGAGCACUGUUAAGGCUAGGGGGUCAUCCCGACUUACCAACCCUUUGCAAACUCCGAAUACCAGUAAGUACUAUCCGGGAGACACACGGCGGGUGCUAACGUCCGUCGUGGAGAGGGAAACAACCCAGACCGCCAGCUAAGGUCCCAAAGUAUUGCUAAGUGGGAAACGAUGUGGGAAGGCUCAGACAGCUAGGAUGUUGGCUUAGAAGCAGCCAUCAUUUAAAGAAAGCGUAAUAGCUCACUAGUCGAGUCGGCCUGCGCGGAAGAUGUAACGGGGCUAAGCAAUACACCGAAGCUGCGGCAAUAUCUUUUAGAUAUUGGGUAGGGGAGCGUUCUGUAAGCCGUUGAAGGUGAAUCGUAAGGUUUGCUGGAGGUAUCAGAAGUGCGAAUGCUGACAUGAGUAACGACAAAGGGGGUGAAAAACCUCCUCGCCGGAAGACCAAGGGUUCCUGUCCAACGUUAAUCGGGGCAGGGUGAGUCGACCCCUAAGGUGAGGCCGAAAGGCGUAAUCGAUGGGAAACGGGUUAAUAUUCCCGUACUUCUGACUAUUGCGAUGGGGGGACGGAGAAGGCUAGGUGGGCCAGGCGACGGUUGUCCUGGUUCAAGUGCGUAGGCUUGAGAGUUAGGUAAAUCCGGCUCUCUCUAAGGCUGAGACACGACGUCGAGCUACUACGGUAGUGAAGUCAUUGAUGCCAUGCUUCCAGGAAAAGCCUCUAAGCUUCAGAUAGUCAGGAAUCGUACCCCAAACCGACACAGGUGGUCGGGUAGAGAAUACCAAGGCGCUUGAGAGAACUCGGGUGAAGGAACUAGGCAAAAUGGUACCGUAACUUCGGGAGAAGGUACGCUCUUGAUGGUGAAGUCCCUCGCGGAUGGAGCUGACGAGAGUCGCAGAUACCAGGUGGCUGCAACUGUUUAUUAAAAACACAGCACUGUGCAAAAUCGCAAGAUGACGUAUACGGUGUGACGCCUGCCCGGUGCCGGAAGGUUAAUUGAUGGGGUUAGCGCAAGCGAAGCUCUUGAUCGAAGCCCCGGUAAACGGCGGCCGUAACUAUAACGGUCCUAAGGUAGCGAAAUUCCUUGUCGGGUAAGUUCCGACCUGCACGAAUGGCGUAAUGAUGGCCACGCUGUCUCCACCCGAGACUCAGUGAAAUUGAAAUCGCUGUGAAGAUGCAGUGUACCCGCGGCUAGACGGAAAGACCCCGUGAACCUUUACUACAGCUUGGCACUGAACAUUGAACCUACAUGUGUAGGAUAGGUGGGAGGCUAUGAAGACGUGACGCCAGUUGCGUUGGAGCCGUCCUUGAAAUACCACCCUUGUAUGUUUGAUGUUCUAACUUAGACCCGUUAUCCGGGUUGAGGACAGUGCCUGGUGGGUAGUUUGACUGGGGCGGUCUCCUCCCAAAGAGUAACGGAGGAGCACGAAGGUGGGCUAAUCACGGUUGGACAUCGUGAGGUUAGUGCAAUGGCAUAAGCCCGCUUAACUGCGAGAAUGACGGUUCGAGCAGGUGCGAAAGCAGGUCAUAGUGAUCCGGUGGUUCUGUAUGGAAGGGCCAUCGCUCAACGGAUAAAAGGUACUCCGGGGAUAACAGGCUGAUACCGCCCAAGAGUUCAUAUCGACGGCGGUGUUUGGCACCUCGAUGUCGGCUCAUCACAUCCUGGGGCUGAAGUCGGUCCCAAGGGUAUGGCUGUUCGCCAUUUAAAGUGGUACGCGAGCUGGGUUUAGAACGUCGUGAGACAGUUCGGUCCCUAUCUGCCGUGGGCGUUGGAAGAUUGAAGGGGGCUGCUCCUAGUACGAGAGGACCGGAGUGGACGAACCUCUGGUGUUCGGGUUGUGUCGCCAGACGCAUUGCCCGGUAGCUAAGUUCGGAAUUGAUAAGCGCUGAAAGCAUCUAAGCGCGAAGCGAGCCCUGAGAUGAGUCUUCCCUGACAGUUUAACUGUCCUAAAGGGUUGUUCGAGACUAGAACGUUGAUAGGCAGGGUGUGUAAGCGUUGUGAGGCGUUGAGCUAACCUGUACUAAUUGCCCGUGAGGCUUAACCAUACAACACCC